Physcomitrium patens is the source of this 1474-nucleotide non-coding RNA. NCBI's taxonomy places the organism in Eukaryota, Viridiplantae, Streptophyta, Bryopsida, Funariales, Funariaceae. The record is from RefSeq and is a predicted model, not a curated record.
UUGGGCAGUGGGUAAUUGCAUGAACGUGAUCUUGAAUAUCCAGAGCUCCAACCGAGAAUUGUGCUCGUCUCUGUGGCAGUCGAUUCAUCCCAUUCAAUGCUUGGGGUUUCAUGCGCACGACGGUAGGGUUUGAAACCACGUUGGGAAUGCCAAUCGAUCAUGAUUGUGGAGGGCUUUAUCUCGGGGUGGCAUUUAAGAGCUGUACAUGCGUCCAAUCCAGCUACCUUGCAGACCUCGCAGGGAUGCCAUUGUCAUUACUGCGUGACCAUUUGCAACUGGCAGUCGAGUCAUUCGGCGUUCAGGUUCGCCUCCACGAGUAGGGUUGCAACUCUGGAAGGUACGUGCAGCGCAUCGCAUUCAAUGAACAACCGCGUGAGAAGCAUCAGGAUGAUUUUAACAGUGCCUCAGACACGAACAUCAAGCCAAGGCUGCACUCUGCAAGAAGGAUAACUCUCUUCCUCCGAGGGCAGAAGCAGGCUCCAGUCACGAAUGGUCUAUCAGUGUUGAGAUGAAGGGAUAACUUGAACUGCAAGACAAGUUCUGAAACCUGUAACUCGAUGUUGAGCUCCAACAGAGGAUCUCAAUUGUCGCAGACCAGUGAUUCAGUUGUAUCCCUCUGGAUUGCCAAGACGUUCGUUCCUCUCGCAAAAUGGAGCUUAAUAAGCAUGUAUCAGGCCUUCACAAUCUAGCAUGAUCGGACCUAACUGAACAAUGGUACACUGGAUGUUUUCUUUCUCCCGAGCACUUCUCAUUCACCGGGUACGUCUUGCUAAGGCACUUCUCCUAGAGGUAUUACCAUAUGAUAACAAGUUUUGUUAUGUUAGUCCACAGUUGCAGCUCCCUGAAGCCCUAUCCGAAUACUGAUCGGCGUCUCCUAGGAAUCCACCAUCAUGCAAGAAGCUGCAGUUACCAGCCUGGAAAUGUACAUCUCAUUAUCACAGUGGUACCAACUUCUCCGAUCAGGAAAACGCGGAAGCUGAUAUUGAACCAUCGACUGCUUCAAAGAAGACAACAUGAUGAGACACUCGUGAACCGCUCAGCUUUCCGAAGCAAAACGCUGCCGACAUCGACACAGACACCGACAUAGACACGUCCUUCGGCUCAUGUUGGAAUGAAUUUAUGCAUUAUAUUGUGGGAGAUUGAUGGAUGGAUUGGUUCCUCAAUUGAAGGAUCUGACCCAGGAUUGGAGACAAAGGUUGAGAUAAAGAUGGUAAAUAAUUAUGUUGGUAAGGUUUGGGAAAUGAGGUGUAAAAUUAGAGUGGAAGUAAAUUAAAGAUUCAUUAAUAUUAAUUUAGAGAUUCUUUAAAUAAAAGUACAAUUUUCCAUACAAAAUAAGGUAAUAUUUUUUAUUUUCUAAACAAUAGUAUAUAUACAAGUAGGGCUUUUUAUGCAAAUCCAAUUAUUAUUCAAUACUUUUUAACAUCUAUUAUUUAAAUAAAAUUAAACUAUUCUCUAAUACACAUAAAAUAAAUCU